This 1393-nucleotide ribosomal RNA is filed under the name Microbacterium sp. 2106. RNAcentral describes it as "bacterial SSU rRNA". It matches the Rfam family "Bacterial small subunit ribosomal RNA". The record is from RNAcentral. Lineage: Bacteria; Bacillati; Actinomycetota; Actinomycetes; Micrococcales; Microbacteriaceae.
AUGCAAGUCGAACGGUGAAGCAGAGCUUGCUCUGUGGAUCAGUGGCGAACGGGUGAGUAACACGUGAGCAAUCUGCCCCUGACUCUGGGAUAAGCGCUGGAAACGGCGUCUAAUACCGGAUACGAGCUGCGACCGCAUGGUCAGUAGCUGGAAAGAAUUUCGGUCAGGGAUGAGCUCGCGGCCUAUCAGCUUGUUGGUGAGGUAAUGGCUCACCAAGGCGUCGACGGGUAGCCGGCCUGAGAGGGUGACCGGCCACACUGGGACUGAGACACGGCCCAGACUCCUACGGGAGGCAGCAGUGGGGAAUAUUGCACAAUGGGCGAAAGCCUGAUGCAGCAACGCCGCGUGAGGGAUGACGGCCUUCGGGUUGUAAACCUCUUUUAGCAGGGAAGAAGCGAAAGUGACGGUACCUGCAGAAAAAGCGCCGGCUAACUACGUGCCAGCAGCCGCGGUAAUACGUAGGGCGCAAGCGUUAUCCGGAAUUAUUGGGCGUAAAGAGCUCGUAGGCGGUCUGUCGCGUCUGCUGUGAAAACCCGAGGCUCAACCUCGGGCCUGCAGUGGGUACGGGCAGACUAGAGUGCGGUAGGGGAGAUUGGAAUUCCUGGUGUAGCGGUGGAAUGCGCAGAUAUCAGGAGGAACACCGAUGGCGAAGGCAGAUCUCUGGGCCGUAACUGACGCUGAGGAGCGAAAGGGUGGGGAGCAAACAGGCUUAGAUACCCUGGUAGUCCACCCCGUAAACGUUGGGAACUAGUUGUGGGGUCCAUUCCACGGAUUCCGUGACGCAGCUAACGCAUUAAGUUCCCCGCCUGGGGAGUACGGCCGCAAGGCUAAAACUCAAAGGAAUUGACGGGGACCCGCACAAGCGGCGGAGCAUGCGGAUUAAUUCGAUGCAACGCGAAGAACCUUACCAAGGCUUGACAUAUAGAGGAAACGUCUGGAAACAGUCGCCCCGCAAGGUCUCUAUACAGGUGGUGCAUGGUUGUCGUCAGCUCGUGUCGUGAGAUGUUGGGUUAAGUCCCGCAACGAGCGCAACCCUCGUUCUAUGUUGCCAGCACGUAAUGGUGGGAACUCAUGGGAUACUGCCGGGGUCAACUCGGAGGAAGGUGGGGAUGACGUCAAAUCAUCAUGCCCCUUAUGUCUUGGGCUUCACGCAUGCUACAAUGGCCGGUACAAAGGGCUGCAAUACCGUGAGGUGGAGCGAAUCCCAAAAAGCCGGUCCCAGUUCGGAUUGAGGUCUGCAACUCGACCUCAUGAAGUCGGAGUCGCUAGUAAUCGCAGAUCAGCAACGCUGCGGUGAAUACGUUCCCGGGUCUUGUACACACCGCCCGUCAAGUCAUGAAAGUCGGUAACACCUGAAGCCGGUGGCCCAACCCUUGUGGAGGGAGCCGUCGAA